Molecule: ribosomal RNA, 406 nt
Filed under: Leptodactylus mystaceus (basin white-lipped frog)
Lineage: Eukaryota; Metazoa; Chordata; Amphibia; Anura; Leptodactylidae
Description: partial 16S ribosomal RNA
Rfam family: Bacterial large subunit ribosomal RNA
Source: RNAcentral
CUUGACAAACUUAUAAGAGGUCCAGCCUGCCCAGUGACUCUGUUCAACGGCCGCGGUAUCCUAACCGUGCGAAGGUAGCGUAAUCACUUGUUCUUUAAAUGAGGACUAGUAUGAAUGGCACCACGAAGGUUAUACUGUCUCCUUUUUCUAAUCAGUGAAACUAAUCUUCCCGUGAAGAAACGGGAAUAAAAAUAUAAGACGAGAAGACCCUAUGGAGCUUUAAACAAAUAUACACCUGCCUCUUUACCAAAAAUUUCAGAAGACAAGUAAUUACCCGGGCAUUUUGAUGUAGCGUUUUAGGUUGGGGUGACCGCGGAGCAAAAAACAACCUCCGCAGCGAACGGGAGUAUUCCCUAAACCAAGGGCCACAACCCCAAGUAUUGAUAAAUCAACACUAAUUGACCCA